GCCAUCCAUCGAAGAAGAACGCAGCAAAACUAUAAAAUUAUUGAGAAAAAAA
This 52-nucleotide ribosomal RNA is filed under the name Ditylum brightwellii. RNAcentral describes it as "partial 5.8S ribosomal RNA". The record is from RNAcentral. Lineage: Eukaryota; Bacillariophyta; Thalassiosirophyceae; Lithodesmiales; Lithodesmiaceae.